RNAcentral lists this long non-coding RNA (1634 nucleotides) under Octopus sinensis (East Asian common octopus). Its description in RNAcentral is "uncharacterized LOC118766583". The record is from RNAcentral. Lineage: Eukaryota; Metazoa; Mollusca; Cephalopoda; Octopoda; Octopodidae.
UGGGUAACGCUGCGAUGGACUGGCGUCCCGUCCAACAUGCGAACACAUACACCAUAGAAACCGGGAAACCGGGCCCAUGAGCCUGGCUGGGCUUUAAAACGGCACAUUUAUUUAUUUUAUAUACUGACAUAGACCAUCACUAGUUCCUUGGAUUCUACUGUUUCAACUGCAGAGUGGUUGUUAAAGGGCCAGAUAAAAUAUGCUUUGCAGUAUUAAUUGCAGCUCUCUCUGUUUUGAGUUCAAACUCAUUUAAGUUAACUUUGCUGCUUUCAACCUUAUAUGGGUCAAUUAAUACUAAUCCAGGGAGGGGGAUUGGUUGAAUGUUACUGCAUCUAGGGAUAUAUCUUGUAUUAUUUGCCUUGGCCCUGCUAUUCUGUCUUCUGUUACUGGCAAAAACAAUGAAAGAUUUGGGACGUCCUUAAGCGAAUAUCUGAACAUUUCAACUGAUUACUUUCAGUGCCAGCGGACCAGCUGGUAGGAGAGAAAGGCAGGGGUACAUUCAUACCCCGUGCACUCAACAAACAAUAAUAAUAUAAGUCACACAUUUAUAAAGAGUUAGACAUAUGUAAGAGAUACUUUACUCAUUGAAAGCUCUUUCUUUCUCUCCAAUGAUUCCAGAUAAACAAAGAGUGGGGUAAAUAGCAAUUCAUUGCUAUACAUUUUCUGUUAAUUCCAUUAAUAAUAGUAGUUGAAAACAUUAUUGGUCAGUUGUGAUGAUUGGCACCUCUUGCAAUGUCUUUAUAUUCUGUUUGAACGAAAAUGCAAAAAAGAAAAUUUAAAAAAAAUAUAAUAAAUAAAAAAAAAAAUUUAACUUGAAAUAUCUUUUUACUUCACGUCUGUUCUCUGCAAAACAUGGUUGAACUGUAAUUAAAUGAAGACGUGAAAGAGAAUUUAAAGAUGUUUUUACCUGGACUGUGGAUGUAAAUGAAUCUAAACACUCAAUAUUCAGCAAUGCAAUAAGUACUGCUGUUACAAUAAUAACACUAACGAGGCAUUUAUUAUUGUCAUAUUGCAAUAGAUGCUGGGUCUGUUAUCAUCAUCUUUGACUAUCAUCAUCAUCUACGACUGUCAUUAUCCUCAUCAUCAACCAUGGUUCAUCAAACCAAUGAAGGAGCCUCUACAUGGUUGCUUGGUAAGCUAGAAAAAGAAACAACUGCUGUAUCUCCCUCAACUCACACUCUAGUAUCUUUCAAAAAUGAAUGUUACAUUGCAUAAUAUAGUCCUAGAUGGACUGUUUUGCAAUGAAAAAAAGAAAAAAAAAACAACAAAUGGUGGUGGUGGUGGCGUGAUUGAACACUUUUGAUGACUGGUCGGCUCUGUUAGAUAUGACAACAACAACAACGGUAUAUCUAGUAACUCAAGAUAUUGGGUCUGAUUACUGUCAUGAAUGGAAUCUUUACAGCAGAUGUUAUCGACCAGAUAGAUGACGGUACCUGGUGGUUUCAUUGACUUAUUAAUUACAGUUUUGUAGUCCCAUUACUUUAGAGACUUUGACACUCCAUCAUUCUACUCCAUCAUAAUUCAUACUUUUACAUGUUGCCGUUGACUCCACGAUGCUCCUGAUGUAUUAAAGAAAUAAGUGAUAUUCAUUAUUGAUUUAUCGAAUAAACGCAUUCACUCAUUAUGUACUGAUA